RNAcentral lists this transfer RNA (73 nucleotides) under Bacteroidota bacterium. Its description in RNAcentral is "tRNA-Thr". It matches the Rfam family "tRNA". Rfam says of the family: Transfer RNA (tRNA) molecules are approximately 80 nucleotides in length. Their secondary structure includes four short double-helical elements and three loops (D, anti-codon, and T loops). Further hydrogen bonds mediate the characteristic L-shaped molecular structure. tRNAs have two regions of fundamental functional importance: the anti-codon, which is responsible for specific mRNA codon recognition, and the 3' end, to which the tRNAs corresponding amino acid is attached (by aminoacyl-tRNA synthetases). tRNAs cope with the degeneracy of the genetic code in two manners: having more than one tRNA (with a specific anti-codon) for a particular amino acid; and 'wobble' base-pairing, i.e. permitting non-standard base-pairing at the 3rd anti-codon position. Lineage: Bacteria; Pseudomonadati; Bacteroidota. RNAcentral also lists the same sequence under 1 other name. The record is from RNAcentral.
GCCGAAGUAGCUCAGUUGGUAGAGCAACUGAUUUGUAAUCAGUAGGUCGCGGGUUCGACUCCCUUCUUCGGCU